UGGGCUGGGCUGGGGGCGGCCCGGUUGGAGGACAAGGAACGGAGCUUCGGGCGUUUGGAGUCGCCCGCCCUGGAGUCUCGGAGCUCGAGCUGAGGAAGAGCGGGAGAAGAGGGGAGGGGGGCGGCGGCGGCGGCCUUGGACGGGGGACUGAGCACUGGAGCUGGACGCAGAUCUCCCCUCCCCGCCCCCUGCACCAUGAGCUGGGGCACCGAGCUGUGGGAUCAAUUUGACAACUUAGAAAAACACACACAGUGGGGAAUUGAUAUUCUAGAGAAAUACAUCAAAUUUGUCAAGGAACGGACAGAGAUUGAAAUCAACUAUGCAAAACAACUUAGGAAUCUUUCAAAGAAAUAUCAACCCAAAAGGAAUUCAAAGGAAGAGGAAGAAUACAAGUAUACAUCAUGUAAAGCUUUCAUUUCCACUUUGAAUGAGAUGAAUGAUUAUGCAGGGCAACAUGAAGUUAUUUCAGAGAACAUGACCUCACAGAUUAUUGUGGAGUUAACUCGAUAUGUACAGGAACUAAAGCAGGAAAGGAAAUCGCAUUUUCAUGAUGGUCGGAAGGCUCAACAACACAUUGAAACUUGCUGGAAACAACUUGAAUCAAGUAAACGACGAUUUGAGAGAGAUUGCAAAGAAGCUGACAGAGCACAACAGUAUUUUGAAAAAAUGGAUGCUGACAUUAAUGUUACAAAAGCAGAUGUUGAAAAGGCCCGGCAGCAAGCUCAAUUACGGCAUCAAAUGGCAGAGGACAGCAAGGCAGAUUACUCAUCCACUCUUCAGAAGUUUAACCAUGAACAGCAUGAACAUUAUUAUACUCACAUACCAAACAUCUUCCAGAAAAUACAAGAGAUGGAGGAAAGGAGAAUAGUCAGAAUUGGUGAAUCAAUGAAAACUUAUGCUGAGGUGGAUCGCCAAGUGAUACCAAUCAUUGGGAAAUGUCUGGAUGGAAUAGCAAAGGCAGCUGAAUCUAUUGAUCAGAAAAAUGAUUCACAGUUGGUAAUAGAAGCCUACAAAUCAGGGUUUGAACCUCCUGGAGACAUUGAAUUUGAGGAUUAUACGCAGCCAAUGAAGCGUACUAUAUCUGAAACUAGUCUUUCAAAUUCCAGAGGGGACAGCAAAACAGAGCUCAAAUUUGCUAGCAAGUCCAAGGGAAAAUUGUGGCCCUUCAUCAAAAAAAAUAAGCUUAUGUCCCUUUUAACAUCCCCCCCUCAGCCCCCCCCUCCUCCCCCUGCCUCUGCCUCACCCUCUGCUGUUCCCAACGGCCCCCAGUCUCCCAAGCAGCAAAAGGAGCCCCUCUCCCAUCGUUUCAACGAGUUCAUGACCUCCAAACCCAAAAUCCACUGCUUCAGGAGUCUAAAGCGUGGGCUUUCUCUCAAGCUGGGUGCAGGACCAGAGGACUUCAGCAACCUUCCACCAGAACAAAGAAGAAAAAAGCUGCAGCAGAAAGUUGAUGAAUUAAAUAAAGAAAUCCAAAAGGAGAUGGAUCAAAGAGAUGCCAUAACAAAAAUGAAAGAUGUCUACUUAAAGAAUCCACAAAUGGGAGACCCAGGCAGUUUAGAUCACAAGUUGAUAGAAGUUGGACAAAAUAUUGAAAAACUCCGACUAGAGGUCCAGAAAUUUGAGGCCUGGCUCACUGAAGUUGAAGGCAGACUCCCAGUCCGAGGGGAACAGGCCCGACGACAGAGUGGAAUGUAUGAAGCACAGACUACACUGUCAGUCAAUAAUUGUGCGCAAGACCGGGAGAGCAGCCCAGAUGGCAGUUAUACAGAGGAACAGAGUCAGGAGAAUGAGCUGAAGAUGAUGGCCACAGACUUUGAUGAUGAAUUUGAUGAUGAAGAACCCCUUCCUACCAUAGGAACCUGUAAAGCACUGUAUACAUUUGAAGGUCAGAAUGAAGGAACGAUUUCAAUAGCUGAAGGAGAAAUAUUAUAUGUCAUAGAGGAAGACAAAGGUGAUGGCUGGACACGAAUUCGGAGAAAUGAAGAUGAAGAAGGUUAUGUCCCUACUUCGUACGUCGAAGUCUAUUUGGACAAAAAUGCCAAAGGUGCUAUGACUUACAUUUAAUAAGAUUAAAUUCUUUUUUGUUGGAGUUUCUCCUUCCCCAUCUGUGACUGUUUCAGGUAGAACUUCUCUAAGGACUGGAUACAUUCCUUAAUGUGCUUUUUUUUUUUCACAGUUACACAAUGGAUUCAUGCAUUGUACAACUGACUUUUCAUUGAUUAUAUUUGAUAAUUCCUAAAGGUGAUGCGCUGGUGCAAGAGCCUCGAGUGAGCUUUCACAGGAGGAGAAACAAACAGUCUGCUUGUUUCCAUAGUCCACUCAAAUGGGUCAUGUGCAUAGACUUCUUGAGCUGGUCUGGAGUUAACCCUUGAAAUCUCAAUCUGAAAUGACAUCCCCUCAUUACUCAGAUGCUUGCUCUUUUCUUACAGCAUGUUCCUUGUAGCUCAGACUAAAACAUAGACCUUAGGCUUGGUUCUGUUGGGUGGGCUUCCCUUUCAUGGAGCUAAACUGACAGAACUGUUCUUUAAUUUCCAAUUCAGUUCAACAUUCAUGGUUGUAGGAGGUCUUCCCCUUGCAACACAAAACUAGAAACUCCGAGAAAAGUGCCCCAUGGCCUUUUAAAUUGCUCCCUAGCUCUCAGUCUGCUUGAAUGUGUGACGUGGCCCAUCUCAAUUUCACAACGUGCCUUUUGUGAUAAUUUUACAACUAGUCUCAUGAGAAGACUAAGGGAACAUAGAACUGGAGAUCCAGACAUACAUUAGCUAGACGGAGUGCUCAGAUUUUUAAAAAUGUAUUGAGUACCAUAGCAAUCAACAAUAAAUACUUCUUCCUUCCCGAAAGGCCAUGUGUAUUCAUUAGGGCUUUUUAAUAGCUGACUCUCUGGUCACACCAAACAUUCACUUUUUCAGGAUUCAGCCUGAUAGCUUAUGACUGCUUCCUUGCUUCUCUCCACCCCACCCCCACCUUUUCCUCUUACUCCACCAUAUAUACGUCCAUGCAUGCACCUGCAAAUAAUUGAGUUUGCAGUUCUGUCUUCAGUGUCUUCCGAAGAUCCAGUUUUAAGUCUCAUUCCCGUCUGCAUGCUUGCCCUGCUGCCCUGCCUAUACUCACCUUUUCAUAAAGUUUGAAGGACUUUGAAGUCUAUUGUCCCUUUAGUAAUCUACCUGUUUAUUAGUAAUAGUAGUUUGGACCUGUGCCUGAUCCUCGGGUAUUUUGGGCAUGAGCACCUCACCUAUGCAGUGUCAUAUUGGAACACAAAAAUCAUUUGGUUGUUCUUUCCAGGACCUCAAAUAGAUUCAUCAUUGUUUAUCACAUCAGAUUACUUUAAAACCAUCGUUCUGCCCUAAGUAAUCCUAUCACCAGAAUCAGAAAACAGUUAUAUUGUUUCUAAGCUUUUAUACUAUUUGGUCUAAUGAACAGUUUGCUUUUUGAGAUAGAAUACCUUUACUUUCUGAAUCUUUAAUUAAUACUGAAGUCAUAUCACAUGUGGCUGCUCUAGUCUUAGAUCUGCCAUCUUAUUAGCAAGUAAAGCUCUUUGGGGCUUAUUAACAUUAUUUAGCAUAGAUUGAACCAAGACAAGGGUGGUUAGAGUCAAUUAUGAAAGCUAUGAGUUAGAAUAAAACUUGAUGUUUAAGACAGGCAGUAGUAAUUGUUUAGUGAAGCUUCAGUUUGGUUCCUAGUAACUAGGAAGUUACUUUGUGAACAUUUCAUUCCUUCUUUGAGAAUCAGACAUUAAAAUUUAUCUCUAGCUCAGAAGAGACAGGUGCAGAAGUGUUUUCUCUAAGGGAUGUUCAGGGCUGGGUCUGUUGACUGGUUCAAUAUGUAAAAAUUAUGGAAAUUUUUCAAAUCAGCAAGUGGGGAAAGAUGGGAGAAAGUGCUGGCUGCAUAUAUCAUGACUUCAGAAGCAAGUCCUUCCAGUGGCUAGAAACCAUUAAACUAGUAGUAUCUUUAGGAGGAAGUAAGUAAGUAAGUAUCUUCCCUCUUGACUUGAGCUUAGAGGCUUGAAAAACCCCAGUAGAACUGUAUUGCUCAAAUGUCAUUCCAUAGGCAGAAGCACUUUGAUGCAAUAGUUGGUUUGAGGGAAUUCUUCAAUGUCCAUCAUGGUUCAAGGAAGAGGAUUGGCUUGGGUAAAUGAAAUUGAAGUUAGAUACAUGUCAGAAGGAAGAGUAACUCUUAUCUCCAAAGUCUUGCAGAAGUAGUAUAAUUGUUGUCCUGAGGGUCAUUGGAACUAUUCAUGGUCUCCUAGAUUAUUAUGCUGUUGUAUGACAGUGCCUACUCCAAUGCAUGCUUUUCCCUUCAGAAGGUGGCACUGCUAAUUCUCUACAAAUAUCACAAAUAAGGACCAUUCUAUACUUUAUCCUCCAACUAAACAGAAAUUUUGCUUUUGAGAUGUCAGAAUCUUGGACUGGGGUAAUUCCAUGUGUUCCUGUUAAUUCUCAUUACAAGCAGAUAGAUGAAUUCUUUGCAAAAUAGGAAAUAUUUUUAAGCUUCUAUAAUUUAUUCUUAUAAUAUCUGAUGCACUGUUGCACUCCCAUGUCAACUAUGUCCAAGCAAGGAUGGAAAUGUUUAAUUUUCCAUUGGUUCUAGGUGGACAAUAAAUAAUUAGCCUUUAUUAAGUAAAUCAACUUAUUGCAGUGCCAGAGUUGCUACGUAGUGAUGUUGAAAGGACUAUUAGCUGGAGGGUACCAACGGGGCUUAGUGGGGAAAAUUUUAGAUGACAGCAGUGAAAAUGUUGUGGAAUAAUUUACAGAUAUAAGCUCAAUCUCUUAAAUGUUUCUUUCUCUUCUUGCCCAUCGCACCUCAUCUUCCCAUAACUGCUGGAAGGUUGUGGUAUCAUUUUAGAUGUUUUAAUUUUAAAGAAAAUGAACCCUGAAUGUUGACAAAGCAAAGUCAUUUCCCAAAAGGCAAAAUCUAAAAUUGAUCCAUCCUCAGGAUAUGCUGAAGAAAAAAUUGACCAGGCAUUAACUGCUGUGAUGGGACUUGCCUUUGAAUUUUUACCAAUUUCACCUGGUAGCAUGUUGUGGCCCUUACAGUCUCUAAAGUGAGUGAGAUUUGCCACUGCCCCACCAGCACAGUCACUAUUGCCUUUCUGGAACAUCUGUAAAUAGAGAAUAAAAAAACAUAUUUACUGAAAAAAACAUAAAA
This is an RNA transcript of Vombatus ursinus (common wombat), 5145 nucleotides long. It is a transcript of the gene named formin binding protein 1, with no coding region annotated. The record is from RefSeq and is a predicted model, not a curated record. Lineage: Eukaryota; Metazoa; Chordata; Mammalia; Diprotodontia; Vombatidae. The transcript is spliced from 17 exons.